RNAcentral lists this small nucleolar RNA (217 nucleotides) under Brassica oleracea var. oleracea. RNAcentral's name for it is "snoRNA Plant_U3". It matches the Rfam family "Plant small nucleolar RNA U3". Rfam says of the family: Small nucleolar RNAs (snoRNAs) are involved in the processing and modification of rRNA in the nucleolus. There are two main classes of snoRNAs: the box C/D class, and the box H/ACA class. U3 snoRNA is a member of the box C/D class. Lineage: Eukaryota; Viridiplantae; Streptophyta; Magnoliopsida; Brassicales; Brassicaceae. The record is from Rfam by way of RNAcentral.
ACGACCUUACUUGAACAGGUUCUGUUCUAUAGGCUCGUACCUCUGUAUCCUUGAUUUCUAAGGAGACAGUCCCUCUAAACUUGGUUGAUGAAUCAUACCCGUGCGAUCUGAGUGUGACUAAUGGCUACGACUGUCCUCGGACUCUCCGCGCUGUAGAGGAUCGCUAUUCGGCUAGGUCUGACCUCUCCGGAGUGGUUGCACGGUUGUCUGACAGGCC